This 1007-nucleotide ribosomal RNA is filed under the name Escherichia coli. RNAcentral's name for it is "partial 23S ribosomal RNA". It matches the Rfam family "Bacterial large subunit ribosomal RNA", at positions 375 to 1384 of the family's 2925-position model. Lineage: Bacteria; Pseudomonadati; Pseudomonadota; Gammaproteobacteria; Enterobacterales; Enterobacteriaceae. The record is from RNAcentral.
GUACACAAAAAUGCACAUGCUGUGAGCUCGAUGAGUAGGGCGGGACACGUGGUAUCCUGUCUGAAUAUGGGGGGACCAUCCUCCAAGGCUAAAUACUCCUGACUGACCGAUAGUGAACCAGUACCGUGAGGGAAAGGCGAAAAGAACCCCGGCGAGGGGAGUGAAAAAGAACCUGAAACCGUGUACGUACAAGCAGUGGGAGCACGCUUAGGCGUGUGACUGCGUACCUUUUGUAUAAUGGGUCAGCGACUUAUAUUCUGUAGCAAGGUUAACCGAAUAGGGGAGCCGAAGGGAAACCGAGUCUUAACUGGGCGUUAAGUUGCAGGGUAUAGACCCGAAACCCGGUGAUCUAGCCAUGGGCAGGUUGAAGGUUGGGUAACACUAACUGGAGGACCGAACCGACUAAUGUUGAAAAAUUAGCGGAUGACUUGUGGCUGGGGGUGAAAGGCCAAUCAAACCGGGAGAUAGCUGGUUCUCCCCGAAAGCUAUUUAGGUAGCGCCUCGUGAAUUCAUCUCCGGGGGUAGAGCACUGUUUCGGCAAGGGGGUCAUCCCGACUUACCAACCCGAUGCAAACUGCGAAUACCGGAGAAUGUUAUCACGGGAGACACACGGCGGGUGCUAACGUCCGUCGUGAAGAGGGAAACAACCCAGACCGCCAGCUAAGGUCCCAAAGUCAUGGUUAAGUGGGAAACGAUGUGGGAAGGCCCAGACAGCCAGGAUGUUGGCUUAGAAGCAGCCAUCAUUUAAAGAAAGCGUAAUAGCUCACUGGUCGAGUCGGCCUGCGCGGAAGAUGUAACGGGGCUAAACCAUGCACCGAAGCUGCGGCAGCGACGCUUAUGCGUUGUUGGGUAGGGGAGCGUUCUGUAAGCCUGCGAAGGUGUGCUGUGAGGCAUGCUGGAGGUAUCAGAAGUGCGAAUGCUGACAUAAGUAACGAUAAAGCGGGUGAAAAGCCCGCUCGCCGGAAGACCAAGGGUUCCUGUCCAACGUUAAUCGGGGCAGGGUGAGU